UACAGAGGGGGCAAGCGUUGUUCGGAAUUACUGGGCGUAAAGCGCGCGCAGGCGGCCUUUUAAGUCUACCCGUGAAAUGCCGGGGCUCAACCCCGGGACUGCGUCCGAUACUUCCGAGCUGGAGGUAGGUAGGGGAGAUCGGAAUUCCUGGUGUAGCGGUGAAAUGCGCAGAUAUCAGGAGGAACACCGGUGGCGAAGGCGGAUCUCUGGGCCUUACCUGACGCUGAGGCGCGAAAGCUAGGGGAGCGAACAGG
RNAcentral lists this ribosomal RNA (254 nucleotides) under uncultured bacterium. RNAcentral's name for it is "partial 16S ribosomal RNA". It matches the Rfam family "Bacterial small subunit ribosomal RNA", at positions 524 to 776 of the family's 1533-position model. The record is from RNAcentral.